Long non-coding RNA from Ostrinia nubilalis (European corn borer), 764 nucleotides. RefSeq lists it as uncharacterized. The transcript has 4 exons. The record is from RefSeq and is a predicted model, not a curated record. NCBI's taxonomy places the organism in Eukaryota, Metazoa, Arthropoda, Insecta, Lepidoptera, Crambidae.
GCUGUCUUGCUUGAUCCUUCUUUGUGAUUCGUUUGUGUUUUAGCUUUUAUUUUCGGAACUUUAUUAACUACAAACUUGGCUAUUCAAACGGACUCUGAUUGAUUGCAAUAACGACAUACUCAGCCUGGGAUUUACUGUUUUUGUGUGGCUCGGCCAAGGCUCGGCUGGUGGUUCUAUGGUGUUAGAAAAUGAGCAACUUAAUUAUACACAACAAUGGGCAGCACCUCGAUCGGUUACAGCUCAUGAUCUUAUAUGCACAACAUGUUGGACCCAAGCCCAAGAUACAACACAAAUGCAUCUACUUCAAAUCUUAGCAGAAAAUGUGUGCUUUGCAGUAGAACACUAGAGCCUAGAACACGUUCACAUCAGCUCAUGUCCCUGAGAACUAACACUCAACAUCAUAUUAACAUCAGGAACAUAAUUGUGGAACGACUAACUCCAUUAGAGGUUACUGCAAAUGACUACAUCUGUGGGGCUUGUCACUCAUUAUUGCAAAGAGAUACCACACCUACUUCACAAGACUCUCCAGAUAUGCCAACCGGUGCCCCGGUAGGUCACCAACAAGUUUGUGUUGGAUGUGGUUGUUCAUUAUUGCGAACUUGAAGUCAUUGUUUGGAUACAGAGAAUAAUCAAGAUAUAUUAAACAUUGUUCGAAAUUGGAUUCAACCCAGAGAGAUUCGUCCUUCAGAUCUUCUUUGCCAUAGAUACUAUCAGAGAGCACGAAUUACUACAGUUGGUGCUUAUUUAAUGAAGCUGAGGACCGG